ACCGAUUGAUGGCUUAGUGAGGCCUCCGGAUUUGGCUAGCGCCGAGGGCAACCUUGGCUCGGGCCGGAGAAGCUGGUCAAACUUGGUCAUUUAGAGGAAGUAAAAGUCGUAACAAGGUUUCCGUAGGUGAACCUGCGGAAGGAUCAUUAAUAUUAUUACUACACACGUUUCGAUUACCAAACACACACCCUUAUGUCAAACACACACAAUAACUAAAACUUUCAACAACGGAUCUCUUGGUUCUCGCAUCGAUGAAGAACGCAGCGAAUUGCGAUACGUAGUAUGACUUGCAGACGUGAAUCAUCGAAUCUUUGAACGCACAUUGCGCCUUGAGGCAUUCCUCAAGGCAUGCCUGUUUGGGCGUCGGCCCUUCUCAAGCCCCCCGGCUUGGUCUUUGCAAGAAAUCUCAACGCCCUUUGUCUAAGCACCAAAGGCCCCCAUUUCUUCCCCAAAUCAGGUAGGACUACCCGCUGAACUUAAGCAUAUCAAUAAGCGGAGGAAAAGAAACCAACAGGGAUUGCCUCAGUAACGGCGAGUGAAGCGGCAAAAGCUCAAAUUUGAAAUCCCUCGGGAGUUGUAAUUUGAAGGAGGUAGGCUACGCGCGGCAACGGCCCAAGUCCAUUGGAACAUGGCGCCAGGGAGGGUGAGAGCCCCGUCCGGCCACGCGCCGCGUCCGCAGUCUGCCCCCGACGAGUCGAGUUGUUUGGGAAUUGCAAGAAAUCUCAACGCCCUUUGUCUAAGCACCAAAGGCCCCCAUUUCUUCCCCAAAUCAGGUAGGACUACCCGCUGAACUUAAGCAUAUCAAUAAGCGGAGGAAAAGAAACCAACAGGGAUUGCCUCAGUAACGGCGAGUGAAGCGGCAAAAGCUCAAAUUUGAAAUCCCUCGGGAGUUGUAAUUUGAAGGAGGUAGGCUACGCGCGGCAACGGCCCAAGUCCAUUGGAACAUGGCGCCAGGGAGGGUGAGAGCCCCGUCCGGCCACGCGCCGCGUCCGCAGUCUGCCCCCGACGAGUCGAGUUGUUUGGGAAUGCAGCUCAAAGUGGGUGGUAAAUUCCAUCUAAAGCUAAAUAUUGGCGAGAGACCGAUAGCGAACAAGUACAGUGAUGGAAAGAUGAAAAGCACUUUGAAAAGAGAGUGAAACAGUACGUGAAAUUGUUGAAAGGGAAGGGCUUGCAAGCAGACACGGCUUUUGCCGGGCCAGCAUCGGUUUGGGGAGGCGGACAACCGCGGGAGCAUGUGGCGCACCUCGGUGCGUGUUAUAGCUCCCGUCCAUACGCCUUCCCCAGUCCGAGGCCUGCGUUCUAAACUAGGAUGCUGGCGUAAUGGUUGCAAGCCGCC
This 1336-nucleotide ribosomal RNA is filed under the name Danielia oregonensis. RNAcentral's name for it is "LSU rRNA". The stretch from base 760 to 1336 matches the Rfam family "Eukaryotic large subunit ribosomal RNA", at positions 1 to 649 of the family's 3401-position model. Lineage: Eukaryota; Fungi; Ascomycota; Pichiomycetes; Serinales; Metschnikowiaceae. The record is from RNAcentral.